Molecule: ribosomal RNA, 491 nt
Filed under: uncultured bacterium
Lineage: Bacteria
Description: partial 16S ribosomal RNA
Rfam family: Bacterial small subunit ribosomal RNA
Source: RNAcentral
AGUGAACGCUGGCGGUAGGCCUAACACAUGCAAGUCGAACGGCAGCACAGUAAGAGCUUGCUCUUACGGGUGGCGAGUGGCGGACGGGUGAGGAAUACAUCGGAAUCUACUUUUUCGUGGGGGAUAACGUAGGGAAACUUACGCUAAUACCGCAUACGACCUACGGGUGAAAGCGGGGGAUCUUCGGACCUUGCGCGAUUGAAUGAGCCGAUGUCGGAUUAGCUAGUUGGCGGGGUAAAGGCCCACCAAGGCGACGAUCCGUAGCUGGUCUGAGAGGAUGAUCAGCCACACUGGAACUGAGACACGGUCCAGACUCCUACGGGAGGCAGCAGUGGGGAAUAUUGGACAAUGGGCGCAAGCCUGAUCCAGCCAUACCGCGUGGGUGAAGAAGGCCUUCGGGUUGUAAAGCCCUUUUGUUGGGAAAGAAAAGCAGCAGGUUAAUACCCCGCUGUUCUGACGGUACCCAAAGAAUAAGCACCGGCUAACUUCGU